GAGAGAGACAGAACACGAGUGGGGGAGGGGGCAGAGUGAGCAAGGGACACAGAAUCAUCGGAAGCAGGCUCUAGGCUCUGAGCUGUCAGCACAGAACCCAAUGCGGGGCUUGAACCCACGAGCCUUGAGAUCAUGACCUGAGCCGAAGUCGGACCCCCAACUGACUGAGCCCCCCGGGCGCCCCUACAACGAUAUCUACCCAGCGAUAGGCCACAAAUAUCUCUCCCUGUUUAGAAACACAGGGUCACUGCUAAUGAAUGAUGCCAUUCCAUAUAUACAUAUAUGCAUGUAUCUUAAUUUGUUUAAACAAAUUAAUUGUUGCACUGUAGGAUGUUUCCACUUUUAUGAACCUACUAUGAUAAACAGAUUUCUACAGUCACCUUUGCGCCAGGUAGAUGUCGUAUUCUGGUCAUCCUUUUGCAUACGAGGAGACUGACGCACAGAAAUGUUACAAAAAACCCACAAAACUUCCCAAGGUCACAGCUAAGGGGCGACUGAAUCAGAGUUUCUAGUUGGGAUUUCUUUCCAGCAAGUCUGUUUUCUCCUUUUCUUCUUCUUCUUUUUGUAAAGUUUAUUUUAAAACGGUGGGGGCGGGGGGGGGGCAGAGAGAGAGGGAGAGAGAGAAUCUCAAGCAGGCAACGCACCGCCAGAGCAGAGCCCAACGUGGGGCCCGAACCCACGAACUGUAACAUCAUGACCUGAGCCGAAAUCACUGAGACACUUUUAACCGACUGAGCCACCCAGGCGCCCUUGUUUUCUCCCUUUCUUUAGAGUAACUGUGCUCUCCACCUACCUCCCUGAUGCCUUUUUCUCUCACAGAUUGCCGGUGAGAACCGGUCUGGGCAGGUGACCCACUUCCUUCUCUGACACCUUUUUAAUUUCAUUAGGGUCCACGUCUGGGGGUAGUUGGGAGGCACGAAAGCAGGUAAUAUGUGAGACGGGACCCGUGGUGCUGUAGUUACUAAAUUGUAAAGCUUAUGUGAAUGUCAGGAGCUACCAGCAAGGGCCUAGAUACACAGUCAGACACCUGCCAAGACUGUUCAGCCAAGUCCCCUCUGCUUCCCCAACCGAGGAAGGAACGCCAGAUUCCCAUGAGAGAGGAAGAAAUCAGCAGUUGUGAGGCAGACUCAGUAAACGGAGGCCUCUCCUGGGCAUGCCAUGGUUGCCUGCCUAGAGCUGAAACGGGAAGGAAGGUUUGUUAUUAUAAGGUUUACUAAUCCUCAUGAUUUCCCCGAGGGAGGAUGCAUUCAUGCCACAGGCCUUCCAGAAUGUUCAUGCCCAUCUCUGAAAAUCUGAGGAAUCUUGUAAGCUGAGAAAAGGGAUGAAACACAGCUCUUCAGUGUCUCGAUUGAUGUGUUCGCCAGAGUAACCGCUUGGAGAUUAGCAGGAGGAAUGACAGGGUGCCAUCGAAUAAUCCAGCUCCUCUGACCCCUUCCUUGUGACCGAUGGUGCACAUCUGUGCGGCAGUGAAAAAACCCAGGCCAGACCCUCAAGGGGCUUCCAGUCCCUAGAAGCGACAGGCAAGCAAACAGGAAGUUAAUUCUGCAGGACGCAAUUAGGUCUCCUCCCUUGGGAACGUUCGAAGACCUAACGGUAAAGAGGAACCAGCGUUUUGGUUGCUGCUGGUUUGGGCUCCGGGCUGAAUAGACCAUCUAUUGUGAAAGUGUAUUGUGCACAAGGAGAAUGGGGCUUUUUAUGAAGGGAAAUCAAGAGGGUGCCCGGUGGUAGGGUGGUAACUGCUAGGC
Acinonyx jubatus (cheetah) is the source of this 1745-nucleotide long non-coding RNA. RefSeq lists it as uncharacterized. Lineage: Eukaryota; Metazoa; Chordata; Mammalia; Carnivora; Felidae. The transcript has 3 exons. The record is from RefSeq and is a predicted model, not a curated record.